This 305-nucleotide ribosomal RNA is filed under the name uncultured bacterium. RNAcentral describes it as "bacterial SSU rRNA". It matches the Rfam family "Bacterial small subunit ribosomal RNA", at positions 333 to 635 of the family's 1533-position model. The record is from RNAcentral.
GCGUACCUAUGGGAGGCAGCAGUGAGGAAUAUUGGUCAAUGGACGAGAGUCUGAACCAGCCAAGUAGCGUGAAGGAUGACUGCCCUAUGGGUUGUAAACUUCUUUUAUAUGGGAAUAAAGUUUUCCACGUGUGGAAUUUUGUAUGUACCAUAUGAAUAAGGAUCGGCUAACUCCGUGCCAGCAGCCGCGGUGAUACGUAGGAUCCGAGCGUUAUCCGGAUUUAUUGGGUUUAAAGGGAGCGUAGAUGGGUUGUUAAGUCAGUUGUGAAAGUUUGCGGCUCAACCGUAAAAUUGCAAUUGAUACUG